UCAUGGCUCAGGAUGAACGCUAGCUACAGGCUUAACACAUGCAAGUCGAGGGGCAGCGCAGUGUAGCAAUACAUGGGCGGCGACCGGCGCACGGGUGCGUAACGCGUAUCCAACCUUCCCGUUACUCAGGGAUAGCCUUCCGAAAGGGAGAUUAAUACAAGAUGGUAUUCAAAUUCCGCAUGUUAUUUGAAUUAAAGAUUUAUCGGUAACGGAUGGGGAUGCGUGACAUUAGAUAGUAGGCGGGGUAACGGCCCACCUAGUCUACGAUGUCUAGGGGUUCUGAGAGGAAGGUCCCCCACACUGGAACUGAGACACGGUCCAGACUCCUACGGGAGGCAGCAGUGAGGAAUAUUGGUCAAUGGUCGGAAGACUGAACCAGCCAAGUAGCGUGAAGGAUGAAGGUUCUAUGGAUUGUAAACUUCUUUUAUACGGGAAUAAAACCUCCCACGUGUGGGAGCUUGUAUGUACCGUAUGAAUAAGCAUCGGCUAACUCCGUG
This 497-nucleotide ribosomal RNA is filed under the name uncultured bacterium. RNAcentral describes it as "bacterial SSU rRNA". It matches the Rfam family "Bacterial small subunit ribosomal RNA", at positions 17 to 507 of the family's 1533-position model. The record is from RNAcentral.